Staphylococcus cohnii subsp. cohnii is the source of this 104-nucleotide non-coding RNA. The record is from Rfam. NCBI's taxonomy places the organism in Bacteria, Bacillati, Bacillota, Bacilli, Caryophanales, Staphylococcaceae.
CCAGUUACAUCAUUUGGAUGCCCUGAUUUAUCUAUAGAAGCGCCCUCAACCAUUAAAAAGAAUCCUUUGUCGUUUUGUUUUAAUUUAUUUACGGCACUAUCAGU